CCCGAGCGUUCGCCGAGUUCUGCCAUGCGCUCCGGGACCCGUACACAGAACAUCCGCAUGGCAGAAGCGGGGGAACCACUUCCGGGCUCGUUGCAAUCCGACGGGUCCUUGGGGUCAAGCCAGCACGGCACCAAGGUGCGUGCGGCCGGAUGUCUCCCAUCCGAACCCGACAGCUCACCUCGUAGGCGCAGGGAGGAACA
RNAcentral lists this small RNA (200 nucleotides) under Kocuria marina. RNAcentral describes it as "c-di-AMP sequence". The stretch from base 42 to 200 matches the Rfam family "c-di-AMP riboswitch aptamer (ydaO/yuaA leader)". Rfam says of the family: This family represents a conserved RNA structure found upstream of the ydaO and yuaA genes in Bacillus subtilis and related genes in other bacteria. The record is from RNAcentral. Lineage: Bacteria; Bacillati; Actinomycetota; Actinomycetes; Micrococcales; Micrococcaceae.